GGGGUUGUGGCUCAGUGGUAGAGCGCGUGCCUAGCAUGUUCGAGGCACUGGGUUCGAUCCUCAGCACCA
This 69-nucleotide transfer RNA is filed under the name Ictidomys tridecemlineatus (thirteen-lined ground squirrel). RNAcentral describes it as "Spermophilus tridecemlineatus (thirteen-lined ground squirrel) tRNA". It matches the Rfam family "tRNA". From Rfam's summary of the family: Transfer RNA (tRNA) molecules are approximately 80 nucleotides in length. Lineage: Eukaryota; Metazoa; Chordata; Mammalia; Rodentia; Sciuridae. The record is from Rfam by way of RNAcentral.